GGGGAUGUAGCUCAGUGGUAGAGUGCUUGUCUAGCAUGCACAGAGCCCUGGGUUUUAUCCCCAGCACCCCUU
This 72-nucleotide transfer RNA is filed under the name Marmota monax (woodchuck). It matches the Rfam family "tRNA". Rfam says of the family: Transfer RNA (tRNA) molecules are approximately 80 nucleotides in length. Their secondary structure includes four short double-helical elements and three loops (D, anti-codon, and T loops). Lineage: Eukaryota; Metazoa; Chordata; Mammalia; Rodentia; Sciuridae. The record is from Rfam by way of RNAcentral.